RNAcentral lists this non-coding RNA (45 nucleotides) under Schistosoma margrebowiei. Lineage: Eukaryota; Metazoa; Platyhelminthes; Trematoda; Strigeidida; Schistosomatidae. The record is from RNAcentral.
AUUCAUCUGACGAGUCCCAAAUAGGACGAAAUGCGCGUCCUGGAU